This 21-nucleotide non-coding RNA is filed under the name Caenorhabditis elegans. Lineage: Eukaryota; Metazoa; Nematoda; Chromadorea; Rhabditida; Rhabditidae. The record is from RNAcentral.
UGAGUACACUUGUCUUUCUGU